Non-coding RNA from Lactuca sativa (garden lettuce), 4747 nucleotides. NCBI's taxonomy places the organism in Eukaryota, Viridiplantae, Streptophyta, Magnoliopsida, Asterales, Asteraceae. The record is from RefSeq and is a predicted model, not a curated record.
AUCAAUUUAUCAAUUCCCUCCUUAUCUCAUCGUCGCAUAGAUCGGUUCCUGAAAGUCUGAAAGAAAAACCUAGCCCUACACCGGCGAUUCCCCACCCCUGUUCCUGCACAGUUUCGCCGACCCACAUUUGCUGCCCUCCGGCUGUUGCUGUUGUUGUCGCUGUCCCGCACCACCAUCGACCUCCUCAUACCGCCACAGUCCCUGCAUCCGGCUGUCAUUAUCGCAAACCACCACCGACCCUGCCGCAUACCGCCACCGUCACUGCCCCAACACCUCCAUUAACGACACCUGAAGAAUGGAUUCAUGGAAGAUUAUAUGUUUUGGUAUGCACAUGGGGAAUUAUAUCCAACACAAGAAAUUGGUCAAUGUUCAAUCUCUGAAACGGCUCAAGACAAUGAUGAAGGUGUGGGUGAUUAUCGUAGAUACGAGCAAAUGAUUAUCGAAAGCAUGCAUCAACCUGAGGCUCCUUACUAUCAACAGGCUCCUUAUUGUCAACAAGCAAAACAAAACCCAAAUCAAUCAGCCCGAACUUUCUAUAAAAUGUUGAACCAAGUUAGCGAGCCUUUAUGGGACGGGUCCAAAAAAGCUUCCACACUCUCCACCACCACUAGUCUAAUUGCUGUUAAUACGUGUUUUCUCCUCAGACCACCGCCUAUAGACACUUCUAUCGAUGCUUCCCAUCCUCUUUCGAAAACCCUCAAUCUCUCUCUAAACUCAUCAGCUUUAGAGAGUAAACAUCCCACAAUCAAUCUCCACCGCCUUACCUUCGGUUUUUCAUUUUUGGUUUCAAAUUUUUCGGAGAAAAUUGGAUCCCCACAUUAUCCGCAAUCUUUAAAUAUUGUUGGAAUGGAAUGUCGAUUAAUACUCCGAUCUUCAACAUCGGCGAGGUAUGGAUAACUCAUAAUAUCACCUUUAUUCUCAUCACUGUCAGUAGUCUAUUGGUUUCAAUUUUGGGUUUCAUGGAUUCAUAUAUCAGCUUCAAUUCAAGAACGUUUCAUAGAUGGCGAUGCUCUUUCUGUUUCUUUUGUUAAGAUUGAGGAAUCAUGGGUUGAUGGUUGUUAGCGAUUUCGAUUAUCGACACUGGCAUAUGGAGGUUUAGUUAGGAUACAGAAUUUAGUGGUCUGGUGAUACCUGUUGUGUCAGUUUCGAAGGAUGUUAUCGUGGGUGGGGAUUCAGUGUGGUUUUUUUUGGGGGUUUGUCUUUUCAUUCUUCAUAUUGCGUGGCUCUUACUGCCAAUUUUUUCUCUUCUACCCUUCCCAUGAAAACAUCUAUACGAUUUAGGGUUUUAAGAUUUUUUGUUUUUGAUUGUUGCAAUUUGGCAUGAAAAUGGAUAAAAACAGUUGUCUAGUAGGAAUCCUUUAAGGAAAAACAAAAUAAAUGUGUAAGUCUUAGCCACCAUCAAAAUUAUUUUCUAGGUCUCAACUCUUUUUGCUUAUGUUUGAUGGUCGAAUGACUUUUCAGAUGCAUCAGUCAGUUUGAUUUUUAAUUAAAUGCUCCGCCUAUGGACCCAAUUUUUGACUUUGAAUUUAGAUUCAAGGCUACUUGUGAAACAAUAAAAUUUGGAUGUAGCAAAGAGGCAAAAAGUUGUACCCAGGGCCAAUGUUAUAUCCAUAUCCGUUGCGUACAAACUCCAUGCAUUCAGAAAAGCAGAAGGAGAAAGAUAUGACACUUCUCACAAAAGGAUUCCAUUCAUGCCCAUACUUGCUUUGAUCAAGAAGUCAAUGCUUCUGGAUGACUAUUGAUGAUCUUCUUACAAGUCCCAAGGAAAAAGACAGAUAACUUGACAUUUUCAAUGGGAAGACAAUUGUAUGUAUUUCAUUCUUUAAAUUGAUUUAUUUAUCCUAUUCUUUUAAGUUAGUUUACACUUCUCAGUUGUGGUAGUUCUAUCGAAAUUUCCAGCAGUUAUAAUCGUUUUAAACUUUGGAUUCAAUUUUGGGCUCUGAUUGAAACCCUUAUAUCUUUGUAACUAUUGUUUCAAAUAAGCUUCAAUAAUUUCUAUAAAUUAAGGUAUUGUCUCCCUUGUAUGUUAUUAACCCUUUAGAUAACAUGAGUUAUUAACACAACUUGGAUUAAAAUCUGUGUAUUAGGGCUAGGUGAGCAUGUGGUAUAUAUGAUAUAUCAUUCAAUACCAUGAGAUACGAUGCCUACUACAAGAUGUACUAAAAGCAAUGUCCGAGUGGCAUUUUUUCAUUUAUGUUCCACUUUCUUAAGAGGAUUAAUCAACGGACCAUAUGGUUUACAUACAUAUAGUAUGAAGUUUUAAAAGUUGAUGCAUUUUAAAAAUGAAAACAUACAAAAAUAUUUCUGUCAUUGUCUCAUAGAAUUAAGCAAUGAGAUUUUGCUUGACUUUGUACUAAUCAAUAGCAGAGACCGAAAUUGAUAUUCCAUAUUUAUUUUAUCCUCCAAGGUUAGUGAUCAUAACUUUAUAUCUUAUUUAUUUUUUCAUUAUAUGAUGUGUAAGUUUCAUUGUGUCAAGUGAGACGCAACUUUAAUAAUAAUAAUAAUAGUUUUGUUUUUGUUUAGAUUUGGAGUAUGAAGCACGAGAAACACAUUCAUGAUUUAAAGAUACCAUACUAAGGUAAUUAACUGGUUGAUUUUGAGUAAUUAGUUGUGGUUAUUUUAAAUUGGGAAUCUUUGAUUUGUUACUAACUAAAGGCAGUGAGAUGGAGUUCAAUUGAGCUAUGCAUCAUUAAUCCAAAAAAAAACUAUUGUUGCCAAGUGAAUCACUUGAGUCAAUAAUAAAUGUAUGGGAUGUAGUACAUGAAAGAAUACGUGUAACCUUGAACCGGCAUAGGUUCGAUGUGUACAUCUUAAUAUGGACCGAAACUCAAGAAACUUAAUUUUACAGGUAUUUGACUAUAAUCUCCAUGGCAAUUCCCAACCCACUAUCCAUCUGUAACGCCUGGUUCGUGGUGCGUAUUUAAUUAUAAUUUAUUCACUUUUGUAGAGCUACUCGACGAGUGGGGAGCCCCAAACUCAUCGAGUAGAAACCAGAAUUGACGCAGGAUUUUAAGUCACCUACUCGACGAGUUGAGAGCCUCAGCUCGACGAGUAGGGCUGCCAGGAUGAAAAAAGGGUUGAUUUUUUUGAUGUGUUAGCUAAAAAAUGGGUAGACAGUCUCCGUUUUCACAAGGUGGAUCUUGUUGAUAAAGUGUUUUCUUCUGUAGCUUUUAGGAACGAGGCCUUUAUUGCCCAGUUUUUGGCCAUUUAGGAUGUUGAGUAGCACUGAUCUACGGUGCAUCCUUCUUGGUCCACCUCGAUCGAUCGUGUGAGUUUGGAUCGUGUUAUGGAGUCUUCUAGGAAGAGAGUUGUGGAAGGGGAGUUUGUGGAGGAUAACAAAGAGGGGAUUAUUCCUAUGGUGAAGGAACGUAAAGCGACCUAGGAAAAUUAGAGUAGUGAUGACACUGAAGGGCUUGCACUUGUCCGACAUUUAUGGCCGCGUUGGGUGGGUGGUGGUAGUUCCAAGGUCUAUGUUGUUCAAGCUGGUGUUAUAUAUAUUCCAGUCAACAUGAAUGUGGAUAAGAGUGGCGUUCCUGGUUUAAGUGUGCAUGUUAAUGAUGUUAUCAUUGAUCAUACUGUUAUUCCUGAUAAUUCUCAAGGUGUGGAGGAAGUUGGUGUUGGGGAUGCACCAUUUCUUGGCUUUGGACAUUGUGGUGUCAUAGUAGGUUAUGAGAGCGAAGGACAAGGAUCGAGUGUUGUGGAUUUCUACCCUCGUUUUUCUCUUAAGGAUGAUUAUCAUAUGUCUGUGUUUGAGAUGGUGGUUGAUGUAACCAAGAAUGUGUUUCCUCCCGGUACAGAUUUUGAGAUGUCUGGGUAUUCUUUGUUUAAUUUUGUUGGGUCGCUCUGAAUUGUUGCGGCCCAGAGUGCUUGCUUCUUUGCUGAGGGUGCUAACCCUUUAAAGCGGUUUUUGGCGGUUGAUGAAGAUAGAGUCCAACUGUAGAGGGAAAUGCAUAUGUUACAAUCAGAGCAUGUUAUGUUGUUAUCCUCUCGAUCGGAGUUGAAACCUAAGGUUGUCUGGUUGGAGAAGGGCCUAUUUGGGAUGAAGAAAAUUCAAGAAGUGAUGGAGGCUCUGAGGGAGGAGGUUAGUAUAUUGGAGCAUGAAAAGAUUAUUCUUGGUGUUGUUGUCGGUCAGUAAGAGCAGGAGAACGAGGGUUUAAACAUUCAAUUGGAAAGUUUUGAGAAAGAUAUGGUGGAGAAAGAUCGGCUUGUUGGGGAAAAAACAAUGGUAGUCAAGCGUUCGAAAACGGAUCUGUGAUGGGUUAUGAAUGAGGGUAUUUCUAGGGUUAUUCAUCAACUUUUGGAGAGUAAAGAGUUCAGCUGUGUUGUGAAGCAUGUGUUGCAGUUGGGAAAACAUUAGGUGUUCGUCAAGUGAAGGAAUUGGUUCAGGGUGGUGGGUGUUUGGAAGAUAUUCCGGAAAGUACUAUUGAUUAUGAUGUGACUAUUGAUGAAGCGUUAAAUGGGUUGCCCUAUGUAGAUUACGCGUUGGUGUUAGGGUUGGGGGAGUUGGACAUUGGUGGUUUGAAGCGUCUGAUGCAGCCUGAUGGUGGCAUUGGUUCUUUGUGAAGUUUGUGUUUUCCCUUUAAUAAUAUUUUGUUGUUGGGUAUGUAGGCCGGUUUGGCUAUUUGGGCAUGUUUAAUCAUCUUUGUGAACUAUAUGCGUGUGUUGAUUUCGUUUUGUUUUGCUUGAAAUCCUUAAUCAUUGUUGAACAACUCUUAGUUUAUCGUAUUGAGCUUGUAAUGUUUCGCUA